This is a long non-coding RNA of Lolium perenne, 1531 nucleotides long. RefSeq lists it as uncharacterized. The record is from RefSeq and is a predicted model, not a curated record. NCBI's taxonomy places the organism in Eukaryota, Viridiplantae, Streptophyta, Magnoliopsida, Poales, Poaceae.
AUCAUCUGUCCCGCAAAAAAGAAACUAACCCAGAUCCACUCAAUAGGCAAAUCCCCCAAAUCACGCCCAUGAACACCCCACAACCUCCAGCACGAACACCUCCACGGCAUCUGGUGCGCUCCAACUGCCCAUCACCGCCGCCUCCAUGCACAAUCUGGUGAUCCGCCAUGGCUCGCCGCCGCCGAUGCUAAAGGAGACGGAGGCGUCGCUGGCCCACGCGUUCCAACGGUGAGGCCGCGACUGGUUGCCCCUCUCGAUACGCGGUUGCGGUAGUCAAACCACCCACCCUCCCCGCCGUCUACUGCAGCUGAUGCCACUGUGCUCUUCUUCUCGAUCCGGCGCUGAUGAGGAUCCCAAACGGGGCACACCAGGAUUUCGCGCCGCCAGCCAAUCAAAAGGAGGAUCUAAAGCAGCUUUUGGUAGUGAAGUUCCAACUGAGGAAAGAACACAGAUUGAACAUGAAAUAAAAAAGUCAUCUUCUUUGAUACAAUGGUAAAGAUGUGUCAAUCAUAAACUUUCCAUUUUUUCAUUAAAUGGUAAAGAUGGGUAAAGGAGCUGUUUGUCCUUAUUUUGUGCCAAUGGCAUGCUUAUAAGUACCGAGAAGGAUACUAGGGCAUGGAGAAAGAGAGACAAAGAGUUGGAGAGUACCAUGGUUGGAUUUUUUAUUGGUGUCGAGGAGGACGCUGCUGAGGCCAUCGACGACAUCAUUGGAAAACUCAGUAUGGAGAGCAACGCAGCCUCCCACAUUUAACCACAAGAUAGACUUCGUAUUUGCCGACGACAACUUUCCUGAAUCGCAGAGUCGGCCUCCGCUAAUUGGCUGUUAACGUUCAUGACCGACUAUCAUUUUGGGUAGGAAAAGCCUUCCUAUGGACCUGUCUUAAGAGAUCCUGAAAGCUAUAUGCAGGCAGGUGUCAGUUGAGAUGUCGAAUUCUCGGUUAGUUCAUCUGUGUGCGCGUCUGUGUGUUUGUCAGGAAGUCGACUAAAAUUCUCUCUGGCUCCUUAAUUAUUUUUCUUCCAUGGUAGUCAGCCACGUUUGGCAUUUUGUUGGCAAGCAGAGUGAGAGACCCCGUCGGAAUGAUGUUGUAGAGGGGCAGUGCAAGGGAUGUGGUGAAUAUGACUGAAAGUUUUGAGUUCGUUCUUGAUAUAUAUUGUAAUAGCAAGCUGAUCCAUCAAAAUAACUGAUCCAUCAGCAACGACAACUGCUACUGCAUGAGUCGAAUUGCCUUCUCGGCUACAGUAGCAAUUUCAUUGAUUUCUUGCAAUUAGUUUUCCUUCUCAUUAGUGUCUCCCUGGUUUUCUCUUGCCUUUGCUUAUGAACAAUGUAAAUACUAUUCUAAAUCAAUAAUAACUGCAAAAGGUAACCAUUCCUUGGAAAAGAACGGCUACCUAGCAUGUUCUUCAUAGGUUCCGUUAAGGAUCAGUUUACCUGCAGUACUCUCGCCCCACCAUAAUAUUUCAAUUUUUGGAUCGUGGUUGACAAUAUUAUUUGUUGUUAUGAAGUAUGUGAAUUAUUUGUGGUUAUAAAGUG